AGAUGUGGAUAAGGAUAUUCUGCCAUGCUUCACAUCAAAAGAAGAUGCCAUGCCUCAUUUUGCAGUGUCCAAAGGUCCAAAUGUAAAAGGAAUAUUUUAUACCCUUCCGUACUACAACGUGACAUACCGUCAAACUUCUUUAUAUUGAACUAGAUUGGACUGUUAAAAAACUUCAAGAUAUCCAAGUAUUUGAGAUAUCGAGGAACAAGAUCCUGUUCCACUCUCUGCUUUGGACACAGUAUAUCUUGGGGUCAUUUUAGAUGAAUGAAGAGCCAAUCAGGGUCGAUAGUGCAAGGUCAUCAAUGAUGCGGGAGGAGGCUGGAAAGCCUGAAGAAAAUCCACAUGUCCAAAUGGAUGACUCCUUUCGCACACAGCCACUGUCGAUCACAGGGAUCCAACUCGGAUGAGCUUCUUGGUACGCUGAUCCUUGACAUUUGAGGAACCUUCCCAAGCAAGAGUACACCUGUCAUGUGUGCAGUUUCGAUAAUACAAUGUAUAAAAAAUAAGUAUAAAUUUUGUUAAUCAUUCUAAAAUUAUCAUUUUGUUCAUUGACCAUCAGAUUGUGAAAGAUGUAUGAUACAUAUCUUAAUGGAUUUAUAGACUAUUCAAUUAUUAAUAGAGUGUAAAAUGCAAGAUUUUGAUAUUUUCUUACAGAAAUUGAUUAGUUAAUUAUCUAGCAUUAACAAACUAUAGUAGAAGGCUUAAAAGUGGAUGUAAAUGCAUACUUUGAUCUGAAUUUUAAGGGGUUUUUUGGGGUUUUUUUUUUUUUAAUUUUCAACUCCUGACAGUAUAUACAACAGUCAGUUAUAGAAAGCAACGUUUGUAUUUUUCAUGUUCAGGUUGGUAAUUGUAUUGCUAUAUGAUCUAUAGAUUGUAACUCUAUAUGAUAGGUCUGCAUUUUUUCUUUCUUGUGAAAAUACAUGUACAUGUCAUUUACAAUUUGUAUAAACUUAAUGCAUUAUCUGUGCUGUUUAUAUUUUUUUAUGACAUGCUUUUACUUACUGAGUUCAAUAUGAAGGACUGUAUAUAAGGUAUCUUUAACAUGUUUGGGAAAAUUUCUGUAUAAGGUCAGACGGCACGUUCCUCGAGAAUCUUUUUUGUAUCUCCUCAUAAUAAAGAGUUCCAAUUAAAAAUAUUAAUUUCAUGAUUAUUAUAAAAAUUAUUAAAAUUCAAGUGAUUGAGGUUAUGUGUCUAAAUGGCCGAGUGGUUAGAACCGUGGCCGCUCACUGCCAGAAGUGUAUAGGUUCUAGAAGUCGUGAGUUUAAAGCCCCACCCCGGCCGAGAUAGAGUUUCAAUACAGUGAAUUUUGCUGUGCUGUGUAUGUAUUUGUUUUUAUAUCAGCAAUUCAAGUGUAUUUUCAAGAAGAUUAUAUAGGAAAUUGCAUACUCUAGUAUUUUGCAGAAAUGCCUGGUAAGGUACCCUAAUUUUUUGCAAGAAAGCUUGUCAAAGUAGUAGUAAACCAACAAAUUCCUGGGAAAAGUUAUACAAAAUUGAGGAAUGUGUCGUCUGACCUUAAUACGUUAAUCAUUUGUACUAUUUAUUUGCAAACUCUAAUUUGGCCUAUUUCUUAAAGUAAUUUUAUAUAAGCCCUGAUGAGAAAAUUACAUGUGAAAUUAGACAAGAAGUUCUGUAUAUAUAGCUUCUUUUCAUGUAUCAUACAUCUAUUUUACAAACAAAAAUCAUAAUUUUAAUGAAGAGGAGUUUAUGAAAAGCUGUUUUUAAAUUGUCUUUUAUGUAUCACAGCUUCUUUAAAAAUCUGUUAUACACUGUACGUACAAAAAAUAUCCAGAGUAACUUGGAGAAAAUUAUUUAUUUACUAUUUCAACAUUUUUGAUAGCUGAAUCUUGAAGUUGUGCAUGUAGUUUAUGUGUUAGAGAUAAGCCCUCCUUUGUUGUAUUUCUUCAUGUUUUACAAUCAUCUUGCUUGUGUUACGUGCAUGUACUGUGUUAUAUUCUGAUCUUUUACAUGGACUAUACAACACUUGAAAAUGUGAAAGACAUGAUUUUUAUAUUGAUGGGCUGUAUUGCUGUGCUUUUUUUUUUUUUAGCAAACCAUUAUAUUAAUAAGUUAUGAAUUACAUGUAUUAGUUUGUUACUAUAUUAUGAAAGCUGAAUGGAAUUAUUUUUUGAUUUAUUAUAACUUUUGGCUUUAGAUUUAUAACUAAUAUUGAAAGUUUUGUAUGUACAUAUGUAUUACUAAGGCCACACCAAUAUACCCGGUAAUUUCUUGUUCAUCAGACAUCCAAUUAAAGAGGUACACGCUGGUGAGCGAUUGCUUGAUAACAUUAAAAAUUUUUGUAGGCAACAUAUUUGGGCAGUACAUAAAUAAAUUUGUGCUGGUGAUUAUAUUUUUUCUGCUUGUUUCUAAUAUAUGAAUAAAUAUGAUUUAAAAUGCCAAAAAAUAAAGCAGAUUUAGAGCAGAAAACAGUGCAGAAUUUCCUGGAUGCGGGAAAUCAUAAUGAUAUUAUUUUUAAAUUAGUUUUUAUUUGAAUACAAUCGUGUGGGUCAGACGAACAAAAAAUUAUAUUGGUGUGGCCUAACAUAACUUCUUAAUAUAAAGAAUUAAUUAGUUUACAUAGACUGUGCUUAUAAGUACUAUGAAAUAUGUAUCAUAAACACUAAUAAAUCAGCAAGAAUUUAAUCAGAA
Molecule: long non-coding RNA, 2646 nt
Organism: Magallana angulata
Lineage: Eukaryota; Metazoa; Mollusca; Bivalvia; Ostreida; Ostreidae
Exons: 4
Source: RefSeq, a predicted model, not a curated record